RNAcentral lists this ribosomal RNA (186 nucleotides) under Triticum aestivum (bread wheat). RNAcentral describes it as "partial small subunit ribosomal RNA". Lineage: Eukaryota; Viridiplantae; Streptophyta; Magnoliopsida; Poales; Poaceae. The record is from RNAcentral.
AUGUAAAUUCGUUUCGCAGAAAUUCAGAGAUUUUCGAUCUCCUUGAAAGAAAAUGAGUUCGAUCAGCAACACCGGUCUCCACAGCACCAGGAAAAAGACCUUCUUUUUACCCAUAACCUUUCUCUGCAGCAUGGGAACCAAGAUCGGGCUUGGCAUUGUUAUGAGGUUCCCGUUCUAUUUAACUAA